AGAGUUUGAUCAUGGCUCAGAGUGAACGCUGGCGGCAGGCCUAACACAUGCAAGUCGAACGGCAGCACAGAGGAGCUUGCUCCUUGGGUGGCGAGUGGCGGACGGGUGAGGAAUACAUCGGAAUCUGCCUUAUCGUGGGGGAUAACGUAGGGAAACUUACGCUAAUACCGCAUACGACCUACGGGUGAAAGCGGAGGACCGCAAGGCUUCGCGCGAUAAGAUGAGCCGAUGUCGGAUUAGCUAGUUGGCGGGGUAAUGGCCCACCAAGGCGACGAUCCGUAGCUGGUCUGAGAGGAUGAUCAGCCACACUGGAACUGAGACACGGUCCAGACUCCUACGGGAGGCAGCAGUGGGGAAUAUUGGACAAUGGGCGGAAGCCUGAUCCAGCCAUGCCGCGUGUGUGAAGAAGGCCUUCGGGUUGUAAAGCACUUUUGUCCGGAAAGAAAAGCUUCGGGUUAAUACCCCGGGGUCCUGACGGUACCGUAAGAAUAGCACCGAUUUCGUC
Molecule: ribosomal RNA, 505 nt
Filed under: uncultured Lysobacter sp.
Lineage: Bacteria; Pseudomonadati; Pseudomonadota; Gammaproteobacteria; Lysobacterales; Lysobacteraceae
Description: bacterial SSU rRNA
Rfam family: Bacterial small subunit ribosomal RNA
Source: RNAcentral